Bicyclus anynana (squinting bush brown) is the source of this 453-nucleotide long non-coding RNA. RefSeq lists it as uncharacterized. Lineage: Eukaryota; Metazoa; Arthropoda; Insecta; Lepidoptera; Nymphalidae. The record is from RefSeq and is a predicted model, not a curated record. The transcript has 2 exons.
CCUACGAUAUUUAAUACCAUACCAUGUUUUAGAUUUCUGCGACAUCUUGCAUGUUGUUGUAUCCAAUGUGUUGGGAUCUGUAUUCCAGGGCUUAUGUGUGUGGUUUAGUUAAGUUUGCUGGUUAUUAAGCAAAAAGGAAUCGAAUUUCAUUUUUAAAAUUAUGAUUAUGGCGAACGAACUCUUUUGUCAUCGCUCAUAGGAUAUUUGGAAUAUGCCCUAUAACUGCAGACUCCAAUAUUACAAAAAGCACCUGCAAUACAAUAGAAUAACAUAUUGGUGUGCUGAAGAAAAGAUGGCAAAGGCUUUUAGCUGAUAGGACAUUGUACUGAUGACCCUGUUAUCUGGUCAAAUCAUAAAUGUGUGUGUAUUAUCAAAAUAUUUGCAUAGAUUGUGAAAUGCUGAUGAUAUUUGAUUUGGUCUUUGAUAUUUGAAAAUAAAAGAAUACUUACUUCA